Molecule: long non-coding RNA, 369 nt
Filed under: Brassica napus (rape)
Lineage: Eukaryota; Viridiplantae; Streptophyta; Magnoliopsida; Brassicales; Brassicaceae
Description: long non-coding RNA (BNAP_LNC022922)
Source: RNAcentral
ACGUUUACAGUUUAAAGUUGAUGUUUUAGGGUUUAGAUUUGAAGGUUUAGGGUUUAGGGUUUAGAGUUGAUGUUUCGGGGUUUAGGGUUUAGAGUUGAUGUUUCAUAGUUUAGGGUUUAGGGUUGAUGUUUUAAGUUUAGAUUAGUUAACCAUAUGUUUUUUUUGUCAAAGUUAAUCUAAAAGUUAUAAAUGUAUUUUAACUUUCAUUAAAGACGAGGAUAAAAGUGGUUAGUGUAAACAUAAAAAGUGAUACUUUGAAAAUGAUAUUUUUGGCAAUUUCCCUAAAUUUUUUUAUUAUUAAAAAGAUGAGACCUAAUGUUUUAUACAAAUAAAAUGUUAGAGUCAGUAAAUUAACAUCAAAUAAAUUUU